RNAcentral lists this ribosomal RNA (301 nucleotides) under uncultured bacterium. RNAcentral describes it as "partial 16S ribosomal RNA". It matches the Rfam family "Bacterial small subunit ribosomal RNA", at positions 509 to 807 of the family's 1533-position model. The record is from RNAcentral.
CAGCAGCCGCGGGAAUACGAAGGGGGCUAGCGUUGCUCGGAAUGACUGGGCGUAAAGGGCGCGUAGGCGGCGGAUCAAGUCAGGCGUGAAAGCCCCGGGCUCAACCUGGGAAUUGCGCUUGGGACUGGUCUGCUUGAGUUCGGGAGAGGUGAGUGGAAUUCCCAGUGUAGAGGUGAAAUUCGUAGAUAUUGGGAAGAACACCGGUGGCGAAGGCGGCUCACUGGACCGACACUGACGCUGAGGCGCGAAAGCGUGGGGAGCAAACAGGAUUAGAUACCCCGGUAGUCCCUGUCUCUUAUAC